RNAcentral lists this small RNA (118 nucleotides) under uncultured Bulleidia sp. RNAcentral's name for it is "RT-4 RNA". It matches the Rfam family "RT-4 RNA". The record is from RNAcentral. Lineage: Bacteria; Bacillati; Bacillota; Erysipelotrichia; Erysipelotrichales; Erysipelotrichaceae.
UACACCACUGACGGCUGAAACGCCGUUUACUCGCCAUUAUUGGAAAGAUGAGUGGAAAUAAACUCGAUACAGGGCCGGACGUAAAGCGGUCGCACCUGCGCUCCGGUAGAGGAUAGAA